Molecule: ribosomal RNA, 648 nt
Filed under: uncultured eukaryote
Lineage: Eukaryota
Description: eukaryotic LSU rRNA
Rfam family: 5.8S ribosomal RNA (bases 231-384)
Source: RNAcentral
AAAGUCGUAACAAGGUUUCCGUAGGUGAACCUGCGGAAGGAUCAUUACCGAUUCUUCACUGAGCACUCAGUGUCGAAAACCACUGUGAACUCGUCAUUGUCAUAUGUGGUGGGCCCUUCUGGGCCCUCAAAUGCGCGCAAGCGCGGCCACAUAUGGCUUCAUUCAUUUGUUUAAAAUGCUUUCUCAACUCCAGUUACUCGACAUUUCAAUGUCGUAAUAACAAGAGUGACAACUUCUAACGGUGAAUCUCUUGGCUCUUGCCUCGAUGACGAACGUUGCCAAUUGCGAUAAGUAGUGUGAAUUGCAGAAUUCAGUGAAUCAUCGGAUCUUUGAACGCAAAUUGCGCUCUCUGGAUACCCAGGGAGCAUGCCUGGAUGAGUGUCGUUUCAUAAUUCUCAACAUCUUGUGAAAGAUGAUUGUGGAGUGGGGGCCUCGGUUCGGCCGCUUGCAGUCUCUCUGCAGACCGCACUCGUGUCGCAUCGUCCCUCGAAGUCACUGAAGUUCCUCGAUGCUCUGCAUACCGAGGGAGGCUCAAAUUCAUUUCGACCUCUCUCACUUGCUCACGGGCGAGGUAGUUCGACACUAUUGCUUUGACCUCAUCUCAGACAAGACUACCCGCUGAAUUUAAGCAUAUCAAUAAGCGGAGGA